This 253-nucleotide ribosomal RNA is filed under the name uncultured bacterium. Its description in RNAcentral is "partial 16S ribosomal RNA". It matches the Rfam family "Bacterial small subunit ribosomal RNA", at positions 524 to 776 of the family's 1533-position model. The record is from RNAcentral.
UACGGAGGGGGCUAGCGUUGUUCGGAAUUACUGGGCGUAAAGCGCGCGUAGGCGGACCUGCAAGUCGGGGGUGAAAGCCCGAGGCUCAACCUCGGAACUGCCUUCGAUACUGCGGGUCUCGAGUCCGGGAGAGGUAAGUGGAAUUCCUAGUGUAGAGGUGAAAUUCGUAGAUAUUAGGAAGAACACCAGUGGCGAAGGCGGCUCACUGGCCCGGUACUGACGCUGAGGCGCGAAAGCGUGGGGAGCGAACAGG